CAGUCGCCGCGGGAAUACGUAGGGUGCGAGCGUUAAUCGGAAUUACUGGGCGUAAAGCGUGCGCAGGCGGUUGUGUAAGACAGGUGUGAAAUCCCCGGGCUUAACCUGGGAACUGCGCUUGUGACUGCACAGCUAGAGUAUGGCAGAGGGGGGUGGAAUUCCACGUGUAGCAGUGAAAUGCGUAGAGAUGUGGAGGCACACCGAUGGCGAAGGCAGCCCCCUGGGCCAGUACUGACGCUCAUGCACGAAAGCGUGGGGAGCAAACAGGAUUAGAUACCCGCGUAGUCCCUGUCUCUUAUAC
This 301-nucleotide ribosomal RNA is filed under the name uncultured bacterium. RNAcentral describes it as "partial 16S ribosomal RNA". It matches the Rfam family "Bacterial small subunit ribosomal RNA", at positions 509 to 807 of the family's 1533-position model. The record is from RNAcentral.